GGCAAUUCCUCGUACGACCAGAGGAUCGGAAAUAUCAAAGGAUAUUAUGGCGCAGCGCGAGUGGAGAAACAGAAACAUAUGAGCUUAACACCGUAAUACUCUUAUCAUAGAAAUAGAAGCAGUCCUCAAUUCCCGCCCUCUAACUUCUAUCUCCACCGAUCCAAAUGAUCUCCUAGCCCUCACUCCCGGACAUUUCCUCAUUGGCGAUUCAUUAAUGUGCUUACGUGAUCGAGAUUUCAGGGACAUUCCAUCGAACCGACUCUCCAAAUGGCAGCAUAUCCAACAGCUUAAACAACAUUUUUGGAACCGCUGGCAUAAGGAGUAUUUGAACGAGCUAACCAACCGCAAUAAAUGGAGCAAGGGUGGACACAGCAUCCAAAAGGGCACAAUCGUCAUCCUCAGAGAGGACAACGUUCCCUCCAUGCAUUGGCCUCUGGGCCGAGUUAUCAAGAUUCAUCCAGGCGCCGAUGGUGUCAUCCGGACAGCUACAGUUCAGACGGCAAAGAGCAUUUUGGAUCGGGGCGUCAAAAGGCUUGUCCCACUGCCAAUUCAACCCGAUCUCGAGAAACCCGAACAACUAGCCACCGAGACGAAAUAAGAUGGGAACUUCAACCACACCUCCCUAGUUUGAUCGGUACCCUCUCAACGGGGGGAGAAUGUUACGCCAUGCGGCUUACCAUAGGUCAUAUUCUUAACUAUCGAUCGCGGCACUAUAAUGUCGCAGACGGAUCGUCGUGUCUGCCCGGCAAACAAACAUUGUAGUGGCAAGCGCAUGGUUCAUUAAGCAGGGCGACUUCCAGAAACGUCGACUCGUGGCCCGUAUUUUACCUCGCGUAAAAGAAUGUGGCGUGAUCCGAACGUAGUGGGGGUCGCCUUCCAGAAAAAACGAAAAAAAUCGAAAGGCGUUCAGAACUUUUCGAGAUGUCGAACCGUCAACACAUGUGAAUGUACCACACCGGACAAUCAAGAAGGCAGGUGCCUUGACUACAGAAAAUGUAAACCUCUGCAAGAAAUAUGGCAGAUACAGUACCGUACAGCCACCGAUUUUUAUAGACGAUCAGUGUGCAGAUACCAGGGCAAUGUUACGAUCGUUUGCUGUCCGAACGAUCCAAACAAAGAGAAGAGAGAAAUUUUAAUAAAAACUGUGUAUAAGUAUAAGGCUUUGCGACCACCAUACUGUGGUUUUAGCAACGUCUCUCAUACCAGGGUGGUCGAUGGUAAACCAGCUGAACUUGGUACGUUUUAUGUCUUUCUUUCCGAUUAAUAAUAAGCCAUUUACUGCAAAGAAUGAACUUUAAAGGCAUUAAACAGCACAUCAAUGAAGAGUAUCUUUUUGCUUGAAAUAAAAAAUUGAUAUAGGAGUAAUAAUAUGGAUAGAGAUCAAAAACUGUUAGGGCAGAAAUUACACGUUUGAACUUUAUAGUUCAGUAUAGUUCAAAUAGAAAUUAUAUAGAAUUAUUUAAUAAUUUGUAUUCCACUGGAAUAAAAAUUUAAUUUCUGUCUUUAUCAAAUCUCUAUUUCAGAGUAUUUGUACGUAUGUACUUAUCGUCUGCUGUAUGAUCGAAUAUCGAAUAGGCGCUUGGCCAUGGAUCGCUGCAUUAGGUUUUCGUAAUCCCCGAAACCCAGACAAACCACUAUGGAAGUGCGGAGGUUCCCUGAUAUCGGCUAGGCAUGUUUUGACCGCAGCACAUUGUGCACAUAUGGAUGGAAUAGAAAACAUACACAAUCAUAAUAUUGCCAUUCUUAGAUUGGUGGAGGAGGUGCCAUUUUCGAGGUACGUAUAUCCCAUUUGUACGAAAGAGCCCCUACGAAAGAGCAACUUCGUCGGCUAUAACCCCCUUGUUGCUGGAUCGGGAGCAUUAAGAUAUAAU
Molecule: long non-coding RNA, 1871 nt
Organism: Bombus huntii
Lineage: Eukaryota; Metazoa; Arthropoda; Insecta; Hymenoptera; Apidae
Exons: 5
Source: RefSeq, a predicted model, not a curated record